This 447-nucleotide ribosomal RNA is filed under the name uncultured bacterium. Its description in RNAcentral is "partial 16S ribosomal RNA". It matches the Rfam family "Bacterial small subunit ribosomal RNA", at positions 29 to 523 of the family's 1533-position model. The record is from RNAcentral.
AACGAACGCUGGCGGCAGGCUUAACACAUGCAAGUCGAACGCAUCGCAAGAUGAGUGGCAGACGGGUGAGUAACGCGUGGGAACAUACCCUUUUCUACGGAAUAGCUCUGGGAAACUGGAAUUAAUACCGUAUACGCCCUACGGGGGAAAGGUUUAUCGGGGAAGGAUUGGCCCGCGUUGGAUUAGCUAGUCGGUGGGGUAAAGGCCUACCAAGGCGACGAUCCAUAGCUGGUCUGAGAGGAUGAUCAGCCACAUUGGGACUGAGACACGGCCCAAACUCCUACGGGAGGCAGCAGUGGGGAAUAUUGGACAAUGGGCGCAAGCCUGAUCCAGCCAUGCCGCGUGAGUGAUGAAGGCCUUAGGGUUGUAAAGCUCUUUCACCGAUGAAGAUAAUGACGGUAGUCGGAGAAGAAGCCCCGGCUAACUUCGUGCCAGCAGCCGCCGUAA